CAGGCAAAUCAAUAAUUGAAAUUCUGCCAAGAAAUCUAGGGGCAGAAGAAGAUGUAUACUUUAGGUGUACGUGAAUCUUUAAGCCGUUCCUUUCUAGGACAAUUUCUAAGACAAUUUUCCUUUUACCCAGAGGUUUACAAGCUUUGGGUGCCUGCGGCCGGCUCGACGGGUGGCAUCAGCAAGCGCCGGCCGGCCUCGGCACUGCUGCGGGUGGUUAUAUAGUCGGCGGAGCACACUAGUGGGCUUCAACGUCAGCGUACGGUGGCGAGCUAAAUCGUGAGUCCUGCUAGGCUUUUUUUGAUUCAGGUUUUGUUACUGUUUUCCAUUCGGGGUUAUAUGGCGAGCAAACCUAACAUUUGCAGUUGUUUGUUUCAGAAAUUCAUGUCCUGACAUCAAAUUUCGAUACGUAAGGUAAAUCCUGCCAACAAAGCUAUGUUAUGGGCUUACUAGUUCUCUUCAUAUCUCUAUCUUCCUUUUGUGAAGUUGUGUAGCGAUCUUCCUUUUACUAUAUGCAAUUCGAUUUUCUUAGGAAUACUCUCCAUUUUCUUAGGAACACGACGUCGUUGCGAUGCCUCCAGAUGCACCAGCAACAGAACAUGAAGAAUGUCAAUGGCAAGGUGAGCGACAUCUAGCAGAUUGCGGACAGAGGCCACGGAAGGUGACCGGAACCCCAACAUGGCCCUGAAAUCAACCACCAAUGGGCAGGCAGAGACGAGGUGUCUCGCUGACUGCAGCGAGGCAUGGCGGAAUGGGCUACUAUUACACGCUCUAAAAGUGAGGUUUAUAGCAAUUAAAAAGGUGAUUUUAUUCCUGAAUCGUGCUUAACAUUUCUUUAGCAAACAAGCACUAGCAGCCCGUUUUCAGAUGUGCUUCUUGUUGGUUCAUGUAGACAUGCCAAUGAAGCCCUGAUAAAGAGUAGAAAAAAUACAGUUUAUUUGUUUAAUUGUUCUCUUGUGUAGACCAAAAUUAGCGAGUAAAGGUAAUUUGAGUUUGCUUCCAAAUUCUUUCUGCGAGUUUAUCCCAGGAAUAAUGUUUUGUUCCUAUUUGAGUUGCAACAUGUGACUUCUGGAGGCUACUCUUCCAUUUGAUGUUGCUGUUCAACAGCUCUCAAAGGCACAGAGCAAAUCAGUCGGGCUUCUCGAAGAAAACAUAUUUUUGAUAAAUGAUGUGCCAUGCAUCCUUCCGCACACCUAAUCGCCUGCUUAGAACAAAUAAAAUUAGUUGCAUUUGCCUGUAUUGGUGGAGUGUGUAUAGAUGGCAGAAUAGCUCCAGCCUUGCUUUCUACUAACCAGUUUCAUUUUCUUUCAGAAUCAAGUUCCUGCUUUUUUCUCCCUGAUGUGAGUGUAUUGGAGUAUAGGGUUCUCCCUGGAGGGUCUUGUAAUCAGUGAGCUAUCUGAGGCAAUGUAUAGAGUUCCAGUUCUGUUUUUCUUGAGAGCCGACCCUGUAAGCUCUGUUUUCUUAGAGUUGAUAUGUAAAUUCUUCAAUGUUUAAAUAAAGUUCAGCCUCAGGCCCUUAAAGAUAACACUACUCCCCAAAUUAAA
RNAcentral lists this long non-coding RNA (1541 nucleotides) under Triticum aestivum (bread wheat). Its description in RNAcentral is "long non-coding RNA (TAES_LNC007180)". The record is from RNAcentral. Lineage: Eukaryota; Viridiplantae; Streptophyta; Magnoliopsida; Poales; Poaceae.